This 429-nucleotide ribosomal RNA is filed under the name Gemmatimonadota bacterium. RNAcentral's name for it is "Gemmatimonadetes bacterium partial 16S ribosomal RNA". It matches the Rfam family "Bacterial small subunit ribosomal RNA", at positions 355 to 776 of the family's 1533-position model. Lineage: Bacteria; Pseudomonadati; Gemmatimonadota. The record is from RNAcentral.
UAGGGAAUCUUCGGCAAUGGACGAAAGUCUGACCGAGCAACGCCGCGUGAGUGAAGAAGGUUUUCGGAUCGUAAAACUCUGUUGUUAGAGAAGAACAAGGACGUUAGUAACUGAACGUCCCCUGACGGUAUCUAACCAGAAAGCCACGGCUAACUACGUGCCAGCAGCCGCGGUAAUACGUAGGUGGCAAGCGUUGUCCGGAUUUAUUGGGCGUAAAGCGAGCGCAGGCGGUUUCUUAAGUCUGAUGUGAAAGCCCCCGGCUCAACCGGGGAGGGUCAUUGGAAACUGGGAGACUGGAGUGCAGAAGAGGAGAGUGGAAUUCCAUGUGUAGCGGUGAAAUGCGUAGAUAUAUGGAGGAACACCAGUGGCGAAGGAGGCGCUCUGGUCUGUAACUGACGCUGAGGCUGGAAAGCGUGGGGAGCAAACAGG